GAUGGCGGCCGGCGGCGGCGGAGGCAGCAGUAAGGCCUCCUCCUCGUCGGCCUCGUCCGCAGGGGCCCUGGAGUCCUCGUUGGAUCGAAAAUUCCAGUCGGUGACCAACACCAUGGAAUCCAUUCAAGGCUUGUCGUCCUGGUGUAUAGAAAAUAAGAAACACCACAGUACAAUCGUCUACCAUUGGAUGAAGUGGCUCCGGAGAU
This 206-nucleotide long non-coding RNA is filed under the name Rattus norvegicus (Norway rat). RNAcentral's name for it is "long non-coding RNA NONRATT016669". The record is from RNAcentral. Lineage: Eukaryota; Metazoa; Chordata; Mammalia; Rodentia; Muridae.